Molecule: long non-coding RNA, 984 nt
Organism: Mauremys reevesii (Reeves's turtle)
Lineage: Eukaryota; Metazoa; Chordata; Testudines; Geoemydidae
Exons: 5
Source: RefSeq, a predicted model, not a curated record
AGCCUUUGGGUGGAGAUAAAGGAACUUUUAGAUCUGUCCUAAAUCAAAACAGUCGAGUCUAGAUAAAAUAUCUAACACCCUUCUGACAUCUAAGGAAUGGAAAGUAGCUUCCUGUUUGAAAUGAUGUGGUUUUGGGGGAAAACAGUAAAUGAACGGUCUGGUUAAGAUGAAAUUCAGAGGACACUUUGGGUAGGAACUUGGGAUGUGGUUAUUUUAAAACCUUUUCCUUGAAAAAUACUGUAAAGGGGGGAUUUGCUAUUAGAGCCCCCCAUUCUCCCACUCUCCAUGUGGAAGUGAUGCACUCCACGAAAGCUGUUUUCAUGGAGAAGUGGAGUAGAAAACAUGUAGCUAAUGGUUCAAAGGAGUGUGUCAUAAGGCCAUUUAGGAUAAGGUUUAAAUCCCAUACUGGGGCAGGUUCUCUAACCUAUGGAUAAAGACUCAUCAGACCUUUAAGAAAUCUUGAAGUUAUGGGGUAUUCCAAAAUGGUGGAAAGAGAAGAACAGAUAGGAAGCACUUGUCGAUGGAUACACCGAAAUCUCUAACCCCAAGAAUCAUCUUGCCAUGUCUGAAGUCACAAAAUGUCCAAAUUGGGGUCCAACCAGCAUCCUGAGACAACAGGUGGUAAUCAAGAGGAAGUCUCAGCAGCAGACAAGAUGUGAAUUGAAUCAGGACACCAUCUGCUAGGAACUACAUGACAACAACUCCUUCAGAGCUUUGAUCCCAGAGGUAUAGAAAGCAAUGUAGGAGACACUGGAGUUUUGCACAGAUCAUAGAUACCUGCCAAUUAGGGAUCCAACCCUCCUGAGUAUUCUGCAGGGUGGCAAAUCCCAUGCCCCCAACAGCAUGACUUGAAAGAAAAUAACUAUUGGAUGUUACCUCUUUGAGGACCCCUUUAACACUAACCCAGAUGUUUCCUUCAGUGAAUCAGGAGACAUCAAUUUUCACUGCCAUCUUGAAAAUAAGUCUCAAAUUUUUUAUUUGUAC